Long non-coding RNA from Solanum lycopersicum (tomato), 528 nucleotides. RefSeq lists it as uncharacterized. The record is from RefSeq and is a predicted model, not a curated record. Lineage: Eukaryota; Viridiplantae; Streptophyta; Magnoliopsida; Solanales; Solanaceae.
UAUAGAAAUAAUAAAAACAAAAAGUAUAUUAGGAAAGUGAGAACACGAAUAGUUGGAAGUUUGUAGCUUCUUUCUUAUACGCUCCUCCAAAUUCCCAAUCUUUAUACACUUCCAUUGUUAUGAUUCAAGCUACAAUCAAGUGAUAUCUUUAGUUCUAUCUAUAAUCAAAGCGAGAUCUUUAAUUCUUGCCCUCCAAUGUUAAAAGAGUUUUAAUGCAUAUCCUCAUACGGUUUUAAGGCGAUGACACAGGCAUGGAAUCGCUCUCAUCUUCAAUCAUUUGAACCAAUAAAAUCUCCAAGCUUUCGCGUUUACACUUGAUUAUUUCCGAUCCUAACAAGUGGUAUCAGAGCCAGAUUCAAUGAUCGAGUCAGCUUCAGUGGUUCGAUAAUCGAUGAUUGAACCAGGUUAGAAAGAGGUGUUCAUCUUGGCGUGUGUAGUUUUAGCAGCAACCUUUUUUACAGUAAUGAAGAUUUUGUUGGAGAAAUUGUUUCAGAAAGGUUCUCUGUGUUGAGACAUAAAUUUUGCAAA